This 324-nucleotide ribosomal RNA is filed under the name uncultured eukaryote. RNAcentral's name for it is "partial 18S ribosomal RNA". It matches the Rfam family "Eukaryotic small subunit ribosomal RNA", at positions 1470 to 1796 of the family's 1831-position model. The record is from RNAcentral.
CCCUUAGAUGUUCUGGGCUGCACGCGCGCUACACUGAAGCUAUCAACACGUUUUCCCUCCCUGUGAAGGGCGGGUAACCUUUUGAAUCAGCUUCGUGGUAGGGAUCGGGGCUUGCAAUUGUUCCCCGUGAACCAGGAAUUCCUAGUAGACGCGAGUCAUAAGCUCGCAUCGAUUAAGUCCCUGCCCUUUGUACACACCGCCCGUCGCUACUACCGAUUGAACGUUUUAGUGAGGCAUUUGGACCGACGCAUCUCAGUUUAACCGCUGGUUUGUGUUGGAAAGACUUCCAAACUUGAGCGUUUAGAGGAAGUAAAAGUCGUAACA